Molecule: long non-coding RNA, 2488 nt
Organism: Perca fluviatilis (European perch)
Lineage: Eukaryota; Metazoa; Chordata; Actinopteri; Perciformes; Percidae
Exons: 3
Source: RefSeq, a predicted model, not a curated record
ACUCAGCUCACUAUGGAGUCAGAAUGGGUCAGUCUGAAACCAGUAAGGAGGGUAAAUACGAAAUUGUUACAGCUCUACAACUACAACCUGCAGAGCUGCUCAUGUAUCAUGGUCGUGUUCCCACUCGUACCAACAUGCACCCGCCAUUACGGCGUGGCUGUGUGUAAAUGUACGAGCGUACAGGUCGUAAUGGAGGCCAUGAAAAGAAGAUUAGCUGGAGCUGUUACAGCAGACCGUCUGGGGACCGCCAUCAUGAGACUGUGGGGACCAGCGCUUGUUGUGUGAGCUGGCACCCCUCUGGCUUUCUGUAGCUGUCCACAUGAUUGACAUUAAUGGUCUAGUUUUCAGAAAGAAUGGUUAUCCUGCAAACUGGUACACCUGCAAAUUCUUUCUCUGUAUCGUCUGACUUGAUUCGCCACUCCUCCAUCCAGCAGAUAGGAUGGUGGUGGAGUGGUUUUGGCUGCAGAAAGAGUGUCUCCCCUGGGCAGCAGAGCAGCUCCUGUCCCCUCCUCUCCCUGCAGCUGGAGCUACCAGAGCCAGAUGCUACGUAGCUCCACCACCCUCUGUCCCCCCUUUCUCUCUUCCAGGAGGAUGGUGCCCAGAGAGGAGGAUGACAAACAUCUCUGCCUCCUCUUACUGACGGAUUUGGACGACCUGACUCCAGCCCUGCACUGUUCCAACCGCCAGCACAAGAUGUUGACUUAAUGGAAGGGGGUUGGCUGUGGAUUGGCCCAUAUGUGUUUGUAUUGGGAAAAUAUGGCAGGGUGGUGUGUCUGUGUAUUCAAUAGGAUUGUGUGUGUUGUGUGUUGUGUGUGUGUGUGUUCACCUAGCCCAGACUGCCUACAUCCAUCAUGCCAUGGUGCUCUGGCAGAGAGUGGGACUCAGACAGCUUCACUAACACACGGUCAGUUAAAUUGCCUGUUAAAUUGUCCUGGUCUGCAGCUAUCUUAGGUGUAGAUAAAAACACUGCACUUAAAGCCUGCACUUAAAGGCAGAAAUUGUCAAGUAAAUGCCAACCUCCUUCCAUGCAUAGAGAGAAAAAGAGAGGGACAGAGGGAGAGAGGGAGAGACAGAGAUCCUCUAAGGGAAACACAUUUCCAUUACAAGACAAAAUUCUGCGACACACACACACACUGUGUCUAUUGUAGAUGCCACAACUGUUAGCCUACUUAAGAGUUAUUUCUCAACCUAAAAUAUCAACAAUAAUCUUUAUAUUUUCAUUGAAUUAUGCUGUUUAUACUCAGAUAUUAUGACCUAUGUAUAUUAUAGUAUAUAUUCCAAAAACAAACACUUCUUUUUUUACUUUGGAAGAUUCAAAAAAUUGUCCAAGAAGCCAAUAUAUGUUGUCCAUAUGAGAUCCAGGCUCACCUGAUCAAUAGGCUAAAUUAUGCAUGAGCAGCAAAACUGUAAUACCUCUUCAUCAACCUUCACUGUGCUCCCUUAAUGAUUAUAUCACAGUCUCAAUCCAAUACGUUUGACAUUUCUCUCCAUGCAACCAGAUGGAAAAUUAAGCCUCAUUCUUUUAACAUUACUGGGGUAUUAUGAAUAAUUGCCUAAAUCCUACUUGUGCACCUGGAGCAGAAAGCUUUAGGGAAUUGCUCUCCUGUAACCAGUGAUGUAGUGCUAAAAAAAGGGUGGGUUAGUUAAAGCCUCUGGUCAGUGUUUGUCAUAAAGACAACUGCUAAAAAUACAAAGGAAAAGCAGUUAUACUUCAUUUCACAUGAAUUUAGAUUUUGAUGAUUUGUUACAUUUAUACAAUUGGUAAAAUCUAGAGAGGAAAACUUUCUUAAACUCUACACUACAUUAACUGACUAAAACUCAGCAGUCUGUUAGUUAAAAAAUCACACUUAAUGCUCUGAAAUGUUUACUAGGUUUUGCUUUGGUUCUGGAUUUGGCCCAAACGUCAAAAUGGUAACCUUUGUGUGUAUUCAAAUGGAUUUUAAAAGACUAAUACGGAUUCAUUAUUUAUACUAGCUUUAUAUUAAUGCUAUCUAAAAUUACUUUAUUAUUUAAUGGAUCUUGAAAAUUGGGAUUCAUAUAAUUAGCCAUCGGGUGAAAACCUGACCCCAACAUUUAAAUAGUCUAUUGACACACAUGGGUCUGUUUUUUUCUAUUAUACUCAAAAUAAUCAUGUUAGAUCCAUAAAUACUUACUGUAAAUAGAAAAACUAUUUUUGUUCUUUAAACAUCUCUAUAUUAUCUAAGUAGAUGUGUCUGAUGCAUGUUCUACAAUAUUUAAGACAUUUCUAGCAGUAUUAGAACCUUGAUAAGUAGAUGGAUGGACGUAGUCUGCCAACAUAAACUCAGUAAUAUAGAGGUCAUCUCUAUUGACACACCAGGGAACUACAUACAUACAUUAACUGCAUCAAUGAACAAUGUGUGACAAUGACUUUAAAAACAUCAAUAUUUGUCAGCAGCCAUUAAGAUGUUGAUGUUUGCAUCAACCCAUGGAAAUAUUUUUAUUUAACAGCUCCAAUGUGUAACAAAGA